Molecule: unclassified non-coding RNA, 967 nt
Filed under: Drosophila ananassae
Lineage: Eukaryota; Metazoa; Arthropoda; Insecta; Diptera; Drosophilidae
Description: GF27426
Source: RNAcentral
AAAAAAUAUAAUAUAAAAAAUGGGUGAAAGGGUUGCCAUCGCGUGGGCGAUAUUUUUCUAAGUGCGGGAAUCGAUAGUAGCUUUAAAGUAUGGCAACUCCCCCACCCUAUUUAUUCUAGUGCAUUUAGUUGAAUUGAACGUGUUGAAUUGCAUUUUAACAAAAGAAAUAAUCAACAAGGAGUGAUUUUUCCACCUACGACGACUUCAUUAGGGCCAUCCGGGAUGGAAUAAGGAGAGCCAAAAAUAAAAAUUAUAAGGAAAAAUCCAAAAAAAACAAAGAAAAUUCCCCGCCAUUACUUGACAAUUUAAAUUAAGCAGAAUGUUUAAAUAUUGUUUACUUUUAUUUUUAAUUUUUAGUUUUAAUUUGUAGUUUCAAUUUUUAGUUUUAAUUUUUAGUUUUAAUUUUAGCAGUGUAUUAAUUAACAGUGUAACUUAUAUUUAAUUUUAAUUUAAUAAAAUAAAAACGAAUAAAAGCAAAAAAAAAAGCAAAAGCAAAAAAAAUUUUUUCUUGAAUAAAAAUUUCCCUUGUCGCCUUUCGGUCACUUUUUCUCGAGCAAGGCUGCGUACGGUGUGCAUCCUGAGUGCAUCUUUUUCUCGUCGCGAGACGCGCAAGUUUUGAUGCACGUGCUGAAUUUCCCGGCCACGCUAAUGUAAUUUGGAAUGAUGCGUUUCCUAUGUUGGGAGUGCGCGGCGCACGUCAAUGCUGCACGCUUUCAGCAAGAAAGCGUGCACCAGGUCCGACUGGGCAGUUAUGCACAUAUCAGUUAUGCACAUAUAUGCCAUGCUAUAUUUGAAUCAACAAGGAGUGAUUUUUCCACCUACGACGACUUCAUUAGGGCCAUCCGGGAUGGAAUAAGGAGAGCCAAAAAUAAAAAUUAUAAGGAAAAAUCCAAAAAAAACUAAGAAAAUUCCCCGCCAUUACUUGACAAUUUAAAUUAAGCAGAAUGUUUAAAUAUUGUUUACUUUU